This is an RNA transcript of Dromaius novaehollandiae (emu), 2475 nucleotides long. It is a transcript of the gene named nuclear pore glycoprotein p62-like, with no coding region annotated. NCBI's taxonomy places the organism in Eukaryota, Metazoa, Chordata, Aves, Casuariiformes, Dromaiidae. The transcript is spliced from 8 exons. The record is from RefSeq and is a predicted model, not a curated record.
GCCGUGCAGGGAGCGGGAGCUGGCGGCGGGGAGGGGCUGUCGCCGUCGCCGUCGGUCCGGCCGCCGGCAGCCAUGAACCAGUUCAGCUUCGGGUCGGGCGCGGCGGGAGGCGGCUUCACCUUCGGCGUGCCGAAGACGGCCGCCGCCACCACGGCCGCGACGGGCUUCUCCUUCUCCACCUCCGCCGCCUCGGGAGGCUUCAGCUUCGGCACGGCGGCGCAGACGCCCGCCAGCAGCCAGCCGGCCGGGCUCUUCUCCCUCAGCACGCCGGCCAGCACCGCGCAGCCCGCCGGCUUCAGCUUCGGCACGCAGCCCGCCGCCACGGCGGCGCCGGCCGGGGCCGUGUUCUCGCUGGGGGGAAAGGCACCCAAAUUACACUUGGGAGGCAGUAGCACAACUCAAGCUGCAGGUAUCACAGGAGGCUUUGGGUUCGGCGGCUCUGUACCGGCUAGUGCGCCCUCAAGGCAAGCAGCAGCCCCCUCUGGCUUUGUUUUUGGCUCUGCUGGUACCACCGCCACUACCACUGAGUCUGGGACAACUGGAGGGUUUACUUUUUCCAGUGGUAGUGCAACCCAGGCAGCAACACCCAGCUUCAGUAUCAGCACCGUAAGCAGUGCGGCCCCGCAAGCAGCGCCCGCGGGGCUGACCUUUGGAGCAGCGCCUGCUGCCGCUGCCACCGCUGCUGCCACCCUAGGAGCAACAAACAACACAGCCAGCAACUGCCUUCAGCCUUGGGGGACAGUGCUCAGGUCAACUGCCCUCGCUGGGUAACUGCUUCCAUGGCUUGUAUAUCAGCAUUAUGGGGCCACAGCCCACACGCUAUUUCCAACUGGAGUGCAAGGAUUAUACUAAGCUUUCGUCAGGCCCUGCAGAGGCUCGUCUGCACAGCCUGCCCGGCUCCGUGAAAGACCGCCUCCCCGCCAAACGGCGCUCAGGAGAAGCACGGCCUACAACAAACAGCCGGUGGCACUGAGGUCACGCCUGUGCAGGGUGACUGGGAAGGAGCUGGCAGGCCGCGCGCACGCUCAGCGGCCCAUUGUGAGGAGCUCCUGACACCUUCACAAGGUCUGCACGCCCGCCGGCGAUGUCACAGCACCGCCAGGGCAACCCAGGGCCCCGUUGCCGGGCAGGCCUCAUUUGCGCACACAGCUUUGGGAGUACCAGCAGACAUGGCUGGCUGCUCUGCCUUGGUGUGCCUUCUCCUGUGUACUCUUCUUGUACACGGGGUCCCCAUACCUGGGGAAAGAGAGGCUUCGGUGCUGUCUGAAGGUACGUACUCCGACGCAAGACCUCCUCUCCCCCACUAACAUUGUCUAAGGGUGAAUCUCCAGGGGCAAGGCAGCGCUCCCACGGGCCCCUACCAGCACCUGGGGGCACAGGCAGAAUAGGGGGCUCCCUUCCAAAGCUGAGAACACUUGAGGAGGAGCUCUUCUGCAGAGACGCGGCUUUCCACAGCCUUCUGCGCCGCCCUCCUGCGCUGCCCACCCUGGGCACACACAAGCAUCUGCCGAGCCUCGGCCCAGCACAGAAGUGGGUCUCGCUCGUGACAGCAGGCUCCUGCUUCCCUUUCUCCCAGCGCAGGAAGGAGGGAGAGAGGAGGAGCAAAACGCACCAAAAGGAGCAGGGGGGAGAAGAGAAGAAUGGGGCGUUUUCUCAAUGCACGGCACCAAACUAGGAUACCACAUGGCAUCCCGCACGUGCUGGGAUGCCACGUCCCCACGGCUGUGAUGCGUGUGCCGCUGCGCUUGGGCUCUUCACGCUUCAGCCCUCCCCUUCCUACCUUUCACCUACCACAGCAUGCACGUUUAUAUUAAACGCUGAUCUCUGGCCACUGUUUUGCAGUACUCUCCCCCAAGGGUUCUGCAGAGGCUGACCCCAGCCCUCCAAAACGCAGAACUGUUGUCGUCAUCGUCGCCAACACUUUGACGCUCGUCAUCUUGACGUUGUUCUUUGCGUUCUGCGUUUGGCUCUACUACCGACUCAAGACCAGGAAAGAAAGGUCUCCAGAGGACGAUGCCGAGGCAUCCGCUUGCCACUACCGCUGCCACUGCGGAGAGCUUCACAGCAGCCUGCAGUGUACCUGCUCCAGGUGUGCUUCUCCGAGCGCAGCAAGCCUAGAGCUCUGCAACAUCUGGGGCAAUGAAGACGACAAUCCGUAUGGCGGCCUUCUCCCAUCCCUGCCUCCUACACCGGGCAUGGGAGAGUUCAGCAGAAGCUCUUCCAGUGACAGUGCCACCACGCAGGAGGAGAACACCGCAGAUGCAGGCGUGCCUGGCACAGGCAGGCUCGAAGCACCAGCCGGCGACAAGGCCUGAACGGGUGGCAUCUCGGGCUGGGCACCGACACCAGGCCACGGCACCGUCCCUCCGCCCAGCCUGCCCGCACCGUGCUCCUCCGUCUCGGGCCGGUGCCAUCAUCGCGCCCGGCCACCUGCACGAGGAGGCCCCUGGGCAAUAAAGACGGAGAGGAGGCAGA